UACGGAGGGUGCAAGCGUUGUUCGGAAUUACUGGGCGUAAAGCGCGUGUAGGCGGCUUGGCAAGUCGGAUGUGAAAUCCCCGGGCUCAACCCGGGAACUGCAUCCGAAACUGCUUCGCUAGAGUCUCGGAGAGGAAGGCAGAAUUCCCAGUGUAGGGGUGAAAUCCGUAGAUACUGGGAGGAAUACCGGCAGCGAAGGCGGCCUUCUGGACGAUGACUGACGCUGAGACGCGAAAGCGUGGGGAGCAAACAGG
RNAcentral lists this ribosomal RNA (253 nucleotides) under uncultured bacterium. Its description in RNAcentral is "partial 16S ribosomal RNA". It matches the Rfam family "Bacterial small subunit ribosomal RNA", at positions 524 to 776 of the family's 1533-position model. RNAcentral also lists the same sequence under 1 other name. The record is from RNAcentral.